CGCGGCGGCCGAAGCCUUAGGCUUCUUCGCCGGGGUCGCGGGUGCUGGGGCUUCGGUCGCUACUGCUGUAUCGGCCAUUUUUUGUUGUUAUUAUUAUUUUUUUUCUUUUUCAAUUAAAACACGCACGAACAAACUGUCACACGGAUAGAACACGUGUGUGUGCGGGUCUUCCUGACAGGCCCGAAGGUCUGUCCGGGUACGGGCCUCGAGGUUACCCUCUUUACCCGGGCUUUCUUCUCCGGGGCUUCGCCUCCGGGGUCAUAUCCUUUCGGCCCUAUUGGGCCAGGGUCGCAAUGCCCUUGGGGUCAUCGUCUCAUUUAGGGUGUCUCAUCUUGGAUAGGUCUCUCCUUGAUAUUGGUCUUCUAUGUUAUAGUGAUGGGAUGUCCUCCCCCGCGUCGUCCAAAUCGUCGCCACCGCUGUCCGCGCUGGGUCGGCUCGGCGGUAGUUGCAGGAGCUCGCGUGGUAGAGGACGCCCUUCUGGCGGUCUCGCAUGUAGGGGU
Molecule: unclassified non-coding RNA, 500 nt
Filed under: Melitaea cinxia (Glanville fritillary)
Lineage: Eukaryota; Metazoa; Arthropoda; Insecta; Lepidoptera; Nymphalidae
Description: misc RNA ENSMCXG00005000883.1
Source: RNAcentral